Molecule: non-coding RNA, 142 nt
Organism: Gossypium hirsutum (cotton)
Lineage: Eukaryota; Viridiplantae; Streptophyta; Magnoliopsida; Malvales; Malvaceae
Source: Rfam
UGUUAAAUUCAUCCAUUUGUACUGUUAAAAACUGGUGUGACUAAUGGGAUAACUAGACAAAGACACAUGGUGUGGCACACGUACCUUAUGCUAAUAUAUAAUGACCAAAUUUUAACAAUAGAAAUAGAUGAAAUUUUUAACA